Molecule: long non-coding RNA, 1481 nt
Filed under: Sus scrofa (pig)
Lineage: Eukaryota; Metazoa; Chordata; Mammalia; Artiodactyla; Suidae
Source: RNAcentral
AAGCAAUCAAGGUAUUUUUUUUACUUUCUCACCCAAACUCCAAUCUCCUUGUUCCAUUCGGCAUCAGUGCACAGAUGCCUAGUUUUGCCAGCAUCGAUCGGAAGGACCAGAGAGAUAAAAUGUUGCAGAACAGAAAAUAAAGGUUUGUCUUAUUGAAGGUUUAUAGGAACACUGCAACCGCCCCCUGGGACCUCCAUGGACACCUGCAAGGGCAAAGGAUUCCCACACCAAGAAGCUGGCAGCCACUAGCCACACCCCCUCCCCUUUUGGUAUAAGAGAAGCCUGAAUUCUAACCUGGGGAAGGAGAAGUGGCCAAACCAAGGAGAAAACUGGAACAGUGAGUGGCCAAAGCCUGGUGCCAUCUUCAUCCACAACAAGGUCUUGCCCCCCUGGCAAGCUGUUCCCACUCACUUACCUCGCACCCCCGGCCGCUCAGCUCUGGGCCGACCACUGCAACUCCAUGUUCAAGGUGUCGGAAAUGAAGACAACGCCGGCUCGGGUCGCCAGUGUCAGAAAGUGAGACACGUGGACAAGGAGACAUCUCGACAAGGCUCUUUACUUCUGCAGAAGGGCGCGGGCCCUCCAAAAAGUGCAGGUGCCCAACAAGGGACCCUCCCCUAUUGACCCCUAACGCAGGUGAUGGACCCGUCCCCUUCCCAUGGGUCAGGUCAGGGCGCACACUCUUCCCGGUUGGCUCACUGAAACCACUUGUUGCUGGGAAAAGGGGUCAAGGGGAAGGGGGUCGCAGAGGCGUUUCCACCAACACCAGAGUGACAUGGAGUCACCAAGGUUUCCUUUGGUAGAAAAGACAUGAGGUUAUUUCCACAACAGCCCCUUCUAACACCGCUGCAAAGCAAAGCCACCGGGAAAAAAUGUAAUUGUAAGGUAUACAUGUAAGGAUAAGCUGACCCCCUUGCUGUACAGUGGGAAAAUAAAAUUAAAAAAAUUAUAAAAAAAAAGAAAAGAAAAGAAAAGCCACCCACCCUGAGGCCGAAAUCACACAGCCCUCCUUCAAACUCACUGGGAGAAGGGGGUUAUUUGAAGACAAAAAGGGGUGUUUUUAUACGCACCCUCCAGGUUCAGAACAGAUUUCGAAUAAAGAGAAGCAAUGACUUUGUUAGAAGGCUGUUUGAUUUUUAAGUGUAUACUUUGGCGAGCGGGAGCGGGGGGUAAAGUCCGUGGGGGAGCUUUUAAGGGGAGCUGAGACGCAAUUUGCCACUUCCCAUCCUCCGUCGAGGUGACCCCAAAGGAAAACUUAGGGUGUCAGCUUCUUGUCACCCUCCUCCCACAAGAAAUGGAUGCCAGGCCAGGCUGUGGGUAACGAGGGUGGGGAGGCCUCUGCCGAUGGCCCGAGAGGGGACCCUCCGUUCUGUCCAUAUUUCCUUCUCACAAAUACACAUGGACUCUCACUCUUGGCCAUGUAACUUGCUUGUAUGAAUUAAUUGUUUCAGCAGUAUAUUGAACAAAUUCCUGAACUCAAA